GGCGGACGUGGCCAAGUGGAUUAAGG
Molecule: transfer RNA, 26 nt
Filed under: Dendroligotrichum dendroides
Lineage: Eukaryota; Viridiplantae; Streptophyta; Polytrichopsida; Polytrichales; Polytrichaceae
Description: partial tRNA-His
Source: RNAcentral